Molecule: long non-coding RNA, 2512 nt
Filed under: Malus domestica (apple)
Lineage: Eukaryota; Viridiplantae; Streptophyta; Magnoliopsida; Rosales; Rosaceae
Description: long non-coding RNA (MDOM_LNC012779)
Source: RNAcentral
CCAUUUUAUAACUACUUAAACACAUUUAAAUAAUCAUAAUGGAAUGCAACAUAAACAUUUAGAUUUAGUGUAUAUGGGCAUAAUAGUAUUAUGAGUUUAUACAACUAACAAAAUUAAAAUCAAAUAUUUUAACUUUCUAGUUAGUAGGAGCCUAAAUGCAAAUAUGAAAAGUUAGGGGUAAAACCGUAAAUAUUUCAAAGUAAAUAUCAACUUUUCAAAGAUUACAAAAUAGCCCCACAAGUGGAUAAAUCCACUAGGGAGGCCGGCCACAUUAAGGGGAUGGGAGGUUUCUUACACACUCUUACACAACAUGCAUUAAAAGCCACAUUAUGUAGAAAAAAUUAAAUUUUACUUGUCACUUGGUUUUGCCAUUAAAACUUAGGUGAGAUGGGUGAUGGAAAUCCUCCUAGUCAAGUCUAGGGUUUUAUAAGUUUUAAUAUGGUUAUGGAUGGUAAGAACAUCAUCCAAAACCAUAAAACUAUGCAUGAAAACCAAUUAAAACCAUUUUCACCCAAAACCAAACUAUGAACACCAAGAACAAAACCAUGAACACAUUUUCAAGAUUUGUAUAUUCUUGGUGAUUUUUCAAACCCAAAAACAAAAGUGACAAGAAUACUUUUUUCUAGCUUAAAAGGAUGUGAGAGUGGUUUACAAUAAAACACAAGCACAACCCAAAACCACCCCCAAAACCGUGCCAACCAUAAAGAACAAAAACCCCAAAUUUUGUUCAUGACUUAUUCUUCAUUCAUGCAUACAAAACUUUUACAUGCAUAUCUUUUCAACUCUUGAUUUACAUUUUUCAACCAUUGAAAAACAAAAGAUAAACAUACUUUUUAAUGAAGAAAUAAUAUGUCAAACUAGUUCUAAACUCAUUUUUCAUUCAUGCAUACAAAACACUUUUGCAUACAUAUCUUUCUCAAAUUUUGACUAACAUUUUUCAACUCUUGAAAAACAAAAGAUAAACAUACUUUGAAUGAAACAAUAAUAUGUCAGACAUAACAUUAAUACCCAUAUGCAUAAAAUCCAAAAGGACACAUUAUACAUAAACCUUUGGCUCUGAUACCACUUGAAGGGAAAAUUAUGAGUUUUCACAUAAAGGGAUUUCAAAAUGACUAUCAUGCAUAUACAAAUCAAAUUUAAUAUACGAAAGCAGCGAAAGCAUUUAUAACAAAUUAUCAAAGCUAUAGUCAUGCAAAUCACCUUCAAGGUUCAUAGGUUUAUAUAUAAUGCAUCAAAUAAAAACUUAGAGAAAAGAACAAAGUGAAGGUUUAGUCUUAUACCUCUUGAUCUAGACUUGAGACCAAGGAUGGACCACCUCCAAGCCCUUUGUUCCUUGAACUCCUUGAGCCUAGCUUCCCUCCUUGCCUCCUCCACUUUGAUAGAAUGAGUUCUCCUAGGUUCUCUUCAAGUUUCCAAAGUAGGAAACCUCUAAAGAUCCUCACCCACUAGUGUAGUGAGAAGGAUGAAGGAAUAACCAAAGGGUGAAAGAUAUGUUAGUAAAAUCACCCCAAGGUGGCCGGCCUUUGUGUAGUUCUUAGAGAGAUAUUCUUUUGCCUCUUUGUUGUUUUUAACCACACAAAAACCCUAAUGAACAAUAUCUUAUAAAGUUCCUUAUAUAGACAAAAGAAACCUAGCCAACAACUUGACUAAAUAUCUCAUCCUUUCCACACCUAAAAUGGCCGGCCCUUUAGUGUUUGGUUUGGGCUUUUAUUAUUUCAAGUCAUCCAAUGCUUGAAUAAAAGCCCAAUGGGUUUAGGCCCAAUGGGCCCAAUUAAACCUGAACGUUUCUUUAAGCCCAAAACGAUCUUUAUCGCUUUUAUGAUUUCUUUAGACUUUCUAAAUUAAUCACAACACUUAAUUAAUCCAAUUAAUUAUUUCCAUCAUCCAUUAGUUACUCACUACAAUAGUGUAUUGGUGAACAAUCUUUUAGGUUCUAAUUAGCAAGGCAGUGAGGUGAUUGGUAUCAAUCCAAUUGAUUAUAUUUAAUUCAAUCACUUAGUGAAUUAAAACUUCAUUUUAAUUCACCUUUCUUCUUUGAUGACUACAUUUAAUCAUCUAGAAGAACUCACAAGCUAUGAGUGACAUCUAACCAUAUGUCAUAGCUACCCAAGCUAAUGUAGAAGUUUAUUCGGAGAACCUAUUCAGUUGGAAUUACAAUGUAAUUCGAUCCUUCUCUAAAACAAUACUCUCAAUCACAUCAUUAGGGUAUGGAUAUAUUAUGUCAAACCCCUAAUGUGAUUAUUCCUUCUUAUAUGAUUCAAUUGAGUCGUAUAGGAACGCUUUCCUUUAUUACACUCGAUACUUCGGCCGAAGAUUCCCGAAUCAUAUCUUAGAGUAUUCUUCCUCUCUUAUCAAGGAUUAGAGAUUCCUUGUUGCGCAUACACUUGCCUUCAUGACUAAGUGGCUUAACCCCAACUAUGCCGUUGACAUUCUGAUAGAGUGACUUUUUGACAUAAUCAAAGAUCAAGUACUUAACCACAAGACAACGACGAUGCCUCAGGUCAAAGGACUA